Molecule: long non-coding RNA, 957 nt
Filed under: Phasianus colchicus (ring-necked pheasant)
Lineage: Eukaryota; Metazoa; Chordata; Aves; Galliformes; Phasianidae
Description: lncRNA (ENSPCLG00000003383.1)
Source: RNAcentral
CUGAAAGUUACCAUCUUUGCACAGUUCUGUGUGUCCUCAAGGAUUUCUCUUUCUCUCUAGUUUCUAGAAACUUUUUUUAGUUUCCAUUGUGAGAGGUGGAAAUUGGUAACAGAAAAUAUGCUUUUUCUUUGUUUACAGAUAUAUUUGGAUUUUAAAAAAUGGCUCCACGGUGCCUCCCCAUUUCCUAGUUGAGUAUGGAACAAAAACCAUUCCCUUGAAGCUAAGGAGAAGGUGCAUCGUGCAAAUCUUUGUGGUGCAGCAGGAAAACAAAACAAAUGCAGUGACAUGUCACCUUGAGCUGUUGGAAGAGGUGUGGAAGCAUCAUCUGACACUCUCAUCCCCAACACCUGUUGAAGCUCCUCCAACCUCUCCCAUACAACGUAAAUCAGGCAUGCUUACAUCACUCAGUCAGCACUGCAGAGUCCUCUGCGCUCCAUCUCAGAGAUGCUGAUAACCUGCUCACUUAUUCAAGUUCACUUAGUGGCCAGUGCACAAUGAACUGGAUUGAGGGGUUAUUGCUGUCUGUUCUUUACUUACCUGCCCUAAUACAGGGUCACGCAGGCAGGCCACCACUGCGGGCAACCGGUGCUCACUGGGCAGAAAUUAAUGUAAAAAUGUGCAUUAUGGCUGAGAACGGAUGCCAUGCACACCACACCUUCUCUCAGGACCCUUUCCAGGCUUUCAAACCAGACUGUUGCUGCUAGCCCCACCAAAGAGCUGCUUCCUGGCCAAGAAGAGCUGGAGCUCUACUAAUGCAGCUGUACUUAAGAAGGAGCCCUCACGCCGAGGAGGAUGGAUGCUUUCCUGGUGAGUCAGACUGAUUGCAGUCAUCCUAUUCUCUUGCUCAUGGUGCAUGCUGACCACAGACAUAACAACAGCUGCUGCCAGCUCCUUCUCCUUGCCAUGCCAGAAAGUAGAGUUUUACCCUCUCCUGCAGAUAAUGAAUAUACUUACACA